This 1016-nucleotide long non-coding RNA is filed under the name Chrysemys picta bellii (western painted turtle). Its description in RNAcentral is "lncRNA (ENSCPBG00000010810.1)". Lineage: Eukaryota; Metazoa; Chordata; Testudines; Emydidae. The record is from RNAcentral.
AAAAUUCUGAUAAUGCAUUAGGCAGGUACAAAGCCAAUAUUUGUGAAGUUCUGUUGCAUUUCACAGUGUAGAAGACCAUUCUGGUUGGUGAAGAAAGAUAAGCCUCAGAUAACCAUGUAGAAAAAUACUUUAAUGUUGAAAAUGUUCUAGAAAUAGUGAACAAAAUCAAAACAAGGAACCUUUUUAAAAAAAAUGUGAUUUUUUUGUGUGUAAGCCUGGCUGUUCACCGUUCAGUUUUGCUGUUGAUUGGUAUAUCAGAAUCAAAGCAUGUAAAUACUAUUGAGAUUCAUACUUCAUAAAAUAUUAGUGGUUAAGUGUCAAAAUUAGAUGAGAUGCAAUUAUACAGUCUGACACUUGUGUCUCUGAAUCUUGUUUAAGUGCUAAGCACGCUCAGUGUUUUCACUAGAAAGAAGUUGGCAAAACGCUACAUUUCUCUGGUUGCUGAAAAGAUACUGGCUUACAGCAGCAUACACCUCUGUGAAAGUUCUCGUUCUGCAUUCUCUGUACUCCCCAAACUCCUUCUCAAAUAAUUGUCAAGUGAAUGGGAGUUAUGAGUGAACAAGAGAUGCAGGAUGGAGCCCGUAUUGGGUAAACAGAAUCACAUUUGUGUAGCAAUAUUUCUUUCUAAUUGCUUUACGUGCAGUCCCAUGGAUGGAGAUGGCAGAAAGCAAACUGUAUGAAGUCUUUGCCAUAUUCUUCAUAAGAUUAUAAAACACAUUCUUGAAUGGAUGAAAAGUACACACUAGCCCAAAUAGUCUCAAAUGUUCUUAUGUCAGAUGUCUCCAUAUUAAAAAAAAAACAUAAAAAGACCACUAUCUUAAAACCUAUUGCAAAAGCUGACCUGUUGCCCGUAAAUUAGCAUUAUUUCCAGAUCCGGACAAUUUCCAUCUGACAAUGCUGGUGCAUAAGCAUAAAAACAAACAGCAGUUACAGCACACAUCAACAACUAGUGCAUGAGAAACACCAGUGGGAGGAAAAAAAAUCAGUGCUUGGAAAUAAAAUUUUCUUCCAUCUCA